RNAcentral lists this long non-coding RNA (458 nucleotides) under Heterocephalus glaber (naked mole-rat). RNAcentral describes it as "lncRNA (ENSHGLG00000025779.2)". Lineage: Eukaryota; Metazoa; Chordata; Mammalia; Rodentia; Bathyergidae. The record is from RNAcentral.
AUUCUUUCAAACUACAGUGCAGAACUUCUCAAUGUGCGUCCCUAAUGGGAAGGGAAUGGUCUUCAGCUGGGAAAUGGAAGAAGAGCGAAUUAUGUCUGGCCGGACUGUGGGAAGAGGGACAUGUCCUGGCACCAAGACUUCAAGUUCUUCUUCAGAGUGUGACAUACAAGAGAUCAGGGUCGACAGCGAAGACUCAAGGUGACGAGGCAGGAAAGGACCGCUCAGACAUCAGGCUGAAACACACACAUGAUGAGAAGACUUUUCUUAAAACCACCGGGAUGUCAAACUUGUUCGGGGAGAAGUUCGGCCUGAUGAGCACGCCACUCUUGGGUGGGCCACGUGUGACAGGUCUCUACUCAAAUUGGUAUUUGGCCCCUUCGCUCGGCCCACGUGCUGAACAUGCUGUCUCUGUCCAAAAGCAAUGAAUACAGCUUCACUUUCCUGACUGAUUUUUGCAC